Molecule: ribosomal RNA, 425 nt
Filed under: uncultured bacterium
Lineage: Bacteria
Description: partial 16S ribosomal RNA
Rfam family: Bacterial small subunit ribosomal RNA
Source: RNAcentral
GUGGGGAAUCUUGCGCAAUGGGCGAAAGCCUGACGCAGCCAUGCCGCGUGAAUGAUGAAGGUCUUAGGAUUGUAAAAUUCUUUCACCGGGGACGAUAAUGACGGUACCCGGAGAAGAAGCCCCGGCUAACUUCGUGCCAGCAGCAGCGGUAAUACGAAGGGGGCUAGCGUUGCUCGGAAUUACUGGGCGUAAAGGGCGCGUAGGCGGAUCGUUAAGUCAGGGGUUGAAUCCCAGAGCUCAACUCUUGAACUGCCCUUGAUACUGGCGAUCUUGAGUGUGAGAGAGGUAUGUGGAACUCCGAGUGUAGAGGUGAAAUUCGUAGAUAUUCGGAAGAACACCAGUGGCGAAGGCGACAUACUGGCUCAUUACUGACGCUGAGGUGCGAAAGCGUGGGGAGCAAACAGGAUUAGAUACCCUAGUAGUCC